AAUGAAGUGCCUGAUAAAAAGGAUUAUUUUGAUAGAAUAAAACAUGUAAUUUAAUACCUUCAUUA
This 65-nucleotide transfer RNA is filed under the name Anaspis sp. ANA01. RNAcentral's name for it is "tRNA-Ile". The record is from RNAcentral. Lineage: Eukaryota; Metazoa; Arthropoda; Insecta; Coleoptera; Scraptiidae.